This 1369-nucleotide ribosomal RNA is filed under the name uncultured bacterium. Its description in RNAcentral is "bacterial SSU rRNA". It matches the Rfam family "Bacterial small subunit ribosomal RNA", at positions 28 to 1381 of the family's 1533-position model. The record is from RNAcentral.
GACGAACGCUGGCGGCGUGCCUAAUACAUGCAAGUAGAACGCUGAAGAGAGGAGCUUGCUCUUCUUGGAUGAGUUGCGAACGGGUGAGUAACGCGUAGGUAACCUGCCUUGUAGCGGGGGAUAACUAUUGGAAACGAUAGCUAAUACCGCAUAACAAUGGAUGACACAUGUCAUUUAUUUGAAAGGGGCAAUUGCUCCACUACAAGAUGGACCUGCGUUGUAUUAGCUAGUAGGUGAGGUAACGGCUCACCUAGGCGACGAUACAUAGCCGACCUGAGAGGGUGAUCGGCCACACUGGGACUGAGACACGGCCCAGACUCCUACGGGAGGCAGCAGUAGGGAAUCUUCGGCAAUGGGGGCAACCCUGACCGAGCAACGCCGCGUGAGUGAAGAAGGUUUUCGGAUCGUAAAGCUCUGUUGUAAGUCAAGAACGAGUGUGAGAGUGGAAAGUUCACACUGUGACGGUAGCCUACCAGAAAGGGACGGCUAACUACGUGCCAGCAGCCGCGGUAAUACGUAGGUCCCGAGCGUUGUCCGGAUUUAUUGGGCGUAAAGCGAGCGCAGGCGGUUUGAUAAGUCUGAAGUUAAAGGCUGUGGCUCAACCAUAGUUCGCUUUGGAAACUGUCAAACUUGAGUGCAGAAGGGGAGAGUGGAAUUCCAUGUGUAGCGGUGAAAUGCGUAGAUAUAUGGAGGAACACCGGUGGCGAAAGCGGCUCUCUGGUCUGUAACUGACGCUGAGGCUCGAAAGCGUGGGGAGCGAACAGGAUUAGAUACCCUGGUAGUCCACGCCGUAAACGAUGAGUGCUAGGUGUUGGAUCCUUUCCGGGAUUCAGUGCCGCAGCUAACGCAUUAAGCACUCCGCCUGGGGAGUACGACCGCAAGGUUGAAACUCAAAGGAAUUGACGGGGGCCCGCACAAGCGGUGGAGCAUGUGGUUUAAUUCGAAGCAACGCGAAGAACCUUACCAGGUCUUGACAUCCCGAUGCUAUUUCUAGAGAUAGAAAGUUACUUCGGUACAUCGGUGACAGGUGGUGCAUGGUUGUCGUCAGCUCGUGUCGUGAGAUGUUGGGUUAAGUCCCGCAACGAGCGCAACCCCUAUUGUUAGUUGCCAUCAUUCAGUUGGGCACUCUAGCGAGACUGCCGGUAAUAAACCGGAGGAAGGUGGGGAUGACGUCAAAUCAUCAUGCCCCUUAUGACCUGGGCUACACACGUGCUACAAUGGUUGGUACAACGAGUUGCGAGUCGGUGACGGCAAGCUAAUCUCUUAAAGCCAAUCUCAGUUCGGAUUGUAGGCUGCAACUCGCCUACAUGAAGUCGGAAUCGCUAGUAAUCGCGGAUCAGCACGCCGCGGUGAAUACGUUCCCGGGCCU